GAUGAACGCUGGCGGCGUGCUUAACACAUGCAAGUCGAACGAAGCACUUAUGACAGAUUCUUCGGAUGAUGGAUUAAGUGACUGAGUGGCGGACGGGUGAGUAACGCGUGGGUAACCUGCCUCAUACAGGGGGAUAACAGUUAGAAAUGACUGCUAAUACCGCAUAAGCGCACAGGACCGCAUGGUCUGGUGUGAAAAACUCCGGUGGUAUGAGAUGGACCCGCGUCUGAUUAGCUAGUUGGUGGGUAACGGCCCGACCAAGGCGACGAUCAGUAGCCGACCUGAGAGGGUGACCGGCCACAUUGGGACUGAGACACGGCCCAAAAUCCUACGGGAGCAGCAGUGGGAAUAUUGCACAAUGGGCGAAAGCCUGAUGCAGCGACGCCGCGUGAGCGAAGAGUA
This 402-nucleotide ribosomal RNA is filed under the name uncultured bacterium. Its description in RNAcentral is "bacterial SSU rRNA". It matches the Rfam family "Bacterial small subunit ribosomal RNA", at positions 28 to 414 of the family's 1533-position model. The record is from RNAcentral.